CCCUUAGAUGUUCUGGGCCGCACGCGUGCUACACUGAGUGGAUCAGCGGGUCAGGUAGCGCGAAAGCGUUUCCUAAUCUUUAAAUCCGCUCGUGAUGGGGAUUGACGGUUGCAAUUUUCUGUCAUGAACGAGGAAUACCUUGUAAGCGCGGGUCAUCAUCCCGCGCUGAAUACGUCCCUGCCCUUUGUACACACCGCCCGUCGCUCCUACCGAUUGAGUGGUCCGGUGAGGCUUUGGGAUCUGAGCGGAAAGAGCGUUUCGCUGUUUCUGCUCGGAAAACUCAGUCGAACCUUAUCAUUUAGAGGAAGGAGAAGUCGUAACA
This 322-nucleotide ribosomal RNA is filed under the name uncultured eukaryote. Its description in RNAcentral is "partial 18S ribosomal RNA". It matches the Rfam family "Eukaryotic small subunit ribosomal RNA", at positions 1470 to 1796 of the family's 1831-position model. The record is from RNAcentral.